GUUACUCUGAUAGUCUCGUAGCAACCGUGCUGUAAUCAGCAGAAGAGUAUGUAAUCUAACUCAGCGGCUAAAGGAUUAC
RNAcentral lists this non-coding RNA (79 nucleotides) under unclassified sequences. RNAcentral describes it as "Lacto-phage-1 RNA". It matches the Rfam family "Lacto-phage-1 RNA". The record is from Rfam by way of RNAcentral.